Long non-coding RNA from Leopardus geoffroyi (Geoffroy's cat), 423 nucleotides. RefSeq lists it as uncharacterized. The record is from RefSeq and is a predicted model, not a curated record. Lineage: Eukaryota; Metazoa; Chordata; Mammalia; Carnivora; Felidae. The transcript is spliced from 2 exons.
GCACGAAAUGCAUGCAGUGAAAAGAUUCCUUCAACCCAGUCCAGCUACCCAGGUCCCUUCCUCAAAGUCAACCAACCUCAUGAGUUUCCUAAAUGCCCUUCCAGAGAGCUGUGUCGGGCUGCACAGUCAGGAAGCGCUGCGUUUUAUUUUAAAAGCCCCUAUGGAUGGACAUUCGGUGUUUUUUUCUGAUCUUUAGCUCUUACGAUAAACGUUGCAGUAAAUUACCUUAUACGCAGGUAAUAUUCUCUGCGUGCAAAUACACCUACAGAAAAAGAAUGGCCAGCAGUAGAAUCACUGAGGCAAAGGAUAUAUGAGCCUUCAACGAGUCCCUGGAAUUCUCCGGGUUUUGUCAUCAAAAAGAAAUCUGGAAAAUGGAGAAUGCCGACUGAUCUCCGAGCCAUAAAGAAAAUCAUACAACCUUGA